Molecule: ribosomal RNA, 481 nt
Filed under: uncultured bacterium
Lineage: Bacteria
Description: partial 16S ribosomal RNA
Rfam family: Bacterial small subunit ribosomal RNA
Source: RNAcentral
GACGAACGUUGGCGGCGUGCUUAAUACAUGCAAGUCAACUGGAGCAGUGGUAGCAAUAUCGCUGUGGAGGUGGCGCACGGGUGAGUAACACGUAGGUAAUCUGCCUUCAGGUCUGGCAUAACUCCGGGAAACCGGGGCUAAUAGCAGAUGAUGCAGCGGCUCGACAUCGAGACAGUUGUUAAAGCUAUGGCGCCUGAAGAUGAGCCUGCGUCUGAUUAGCUAGUUGGCGGGGUAACGGCCCACCAAGGCAACGAUCAGUCGCUGGUCUGAGAGGAUGAUCAGCCACACUGGAACGGAGACACGGUCCAGACGCGGACGGGAGGCAGCAGUAAGGAAUAUUGGUCAAUGGGAGAAAUCCUGAAGCAGCAACGCCGCGUGAGGGACGAAGGGCGUUUGCUUGUAAACCUCUGUAGUGAGAGAAAAAAAUCCCAAUCUGUGGGACAUGAUGGUAUCUCAAAAGUAAGCCCCGGCUAACUACGUG